Non-coding RNA from Lolium perenne, 1795 nucleotides. Lineage: Eukaryota; Viridiplantae; Streptophyta; Magnoliopsida; Poales; Poaceae. The record is from RefSeq and is a predicted model, not a curated record.
GGUCUUCUUCCUCCUGGGCACAUAUACUGGCACGUACAGCCAUGGCUCCUUUCCAUCUUCAAUUCCCGUUAAUUCUGUGACUGUUUCUUCUCGAGUGCAAUACGAAAUUUACUCCUAUUUAGAUGGGCGUUCCAUUCAGCCAAUUAUUUUCCCACUUUAUUGCCUUAAUCUUCCAAACCGUCCAGGUGCACCGAAUGCCACCAGCCGGCAUUGCCAUCCCGAUCUCCCUCCUCAGGCCAUAGAAUUGCGAAACUAGAUGUCCUCCGUGUGCCCCUUGUCCUCCUCCACCACUUUGCUUCAGAAAGUUUGUACUGAUAUGCUCUGUACAGCCCACACCGACCGUGCCAUCUACAGCCUCAAAUUCGAGUUCAUCGCUAUAUCUUGCCGUCUAGAGUGAUCACCACGAAGCUUCCUUGCACCAGAAGAUGUUUCUCAUCAAGGCCUACCUCCAGGACAUGGUCAGACGUGUUUUUGUCGCAGUUGGCCGCGACAUCAACGGAGUUCAUCAGAGCGGUACGUCGCGUACGUUCAUCUUUUGCACCAUUCCUUUUUCUAGUGUGAUGUCCUAAUCAUCGCCUAACUCCAAGACAUGGUGCUGCAUCGUUUUGUCGCUGGGGUUCGCGCCGCCGAUUUGAGGAUUGAUUCCGACGAACCCCAACCUCCGCGAAGAUGUCCGAUGCCGGUCACCACUCUGGCCGCGUGCGUUGCCAUUCCAGGAAAAGGGCAAGGUCGGCAAACACGCCUUUGUUUUCAACAUCUACUGCCGCACAUGGUUGUCCACUUCAUCGAGCCGAGGAACGACCGGAGGAGCACCAGCAUCCGCGCUCGCAACAGCGCCGUCGUCAUCUUGGAACAGCACUGCCACCACCCGUUUGUGCGGAGAGCCACAUGUUUUGAUUGAGAGAAAAGGGAAUGAUCUUCGACUACCAAAAAGGCAAGUGACACACACCAAAAGUCCCAGUUUUAAAUUCUUGCACAGUAGUAUUUUUAUAGUAGACAUGUCUAGGGUUUAUGCUAUUUGCUUUCUAUUAAAUCCUAGUAGUUUAGCUACACCACUCCUAGACUCCCUUAGCCGCCAUUAAAUUUAGUUGUUACCUGCUAUGUCAUGAAAAAGGUUUUGAUAGAGGUUAAGGAAAAACAACUAAGUUUAAUGAAUUACCUGGGUGAAUGGUGGAGUUAUGGAGAGGGUGGCUGUAUCAGGGGGCAAGACCCUGGUGCUAGUGCACACUUGCGGAAAGUCACCCAGGCUUAAAGAGAUUGUAGACAAACCUUGCUCAUUAGCUUCACGUACAACCACAUGCUAUUAUGGCUCUGGCUUGACAAAGUAUGUUGUAUGAACCCGGAUCCUAGGGGCCAGGUGGUGGUAGAGGGAUACUGUAGGUGGGGGCGUGGCCCUUAGGGAAUGGUUCGGGCGAUUACACACAGAAGGUCUCGGCCACGGUCUACACCUGUCCUUAAGCAAAAUGUGCAACGAGGUAGAAGGAUUGACCUGGCCAUGUGGGUAAAGGUGUACAACCUCUCGAGAGUGUAAAAUCUAAGUACUUAGCCGUGUCCCCGGUUAUGGACAACUUGAGCGAACUGACAAGUCCUUGUUCGAAGAUCUCCUCAUCCCAAUUUCUUAAAUAAAAUUUGAUGGGUGAACAAGGGUAGGAAGGUACAUUGGGGUUUUACCAAUGCUACUGUUAAUUUGGUACAUUGGGGUUUUACCAAUGUUACUGCUAAAUUAGAUUGAAAUAAAAUGUUUUGAUAAACGUUAGGGAAAAAUUGGCUUUACGCAAAAUGAACCUGAGCUCUA